This 549-nucleotide ribosomal RNA is filed under the name uncultured bacterium. RNAcentral describes it as "bacterial SSU rRNA". It matches the Rfam family "Bacterial small subunit ribosomal RNA", at positions 17 to 522 of the family's 1533-position model. The record is from RNAcentral.
UAGAGACUCACACUGGCCGCUCGUUUNGACAGCCUAAUACAUGCAAGUCGAGCGAAUGGAUUAAGAGCUUGCUCUUAUGAAGUUAGCGGCGGACGGGUGAGUAACACGUGGGUAACCUGCCCAUAAGACUGGGAUAACUCCGGGAAACCGGGGCUAAUACCGGAUAACAUUUUGAACCGCAUAGGUUCGAAAUUGAAAGGCGGCUUCGGCUGUCACUUAUAGGAUAGGACCCGCGUCGCAUUAGCUAGUUGGUGAGGUAACGGCUCACCAAGGCAACGAUAGCGUAGCCGACCUGAGAGGGUAGAUACGGCCACACUGGGACUAGAGACACGGCCCAGACUCCUACGGGAGGCAGCAGUAGGGAAUCUUCCGCAAUGGACGAAAGUCUAGACGGAGCAACGCCGCGUAGAGUGAUAGAAGGCUAACGGAGUACGUAAAACUCUAGUAAGUAGGGAAGAACAAGUAGCCUAGUUGAAUAAGCUGGGCACCUNNNGACAGGACCUAACCAGAAAAGCCACGGGCCAACUAACGUGCCAACCAGCCGCGGGA